CCUACGGGCGGCAGCAGUGAGGAAUAUUGGUCAAUGGCCGGAAGGCUGAACCAGCCAUGCCGCGUGAAGGUCAGUGCCCUAUGGGCGUUAAACUUCUUUUGUGCGGGAGCAAUAAUGGUCACGUGUGGCCAGACGAGAGUACCGUACGAAUAAGCAUCGGCUAACUCCGUUCCAGCAGCCGCGGUAAUACGGGGGAUGCAAGCGUUAUCCGGAUUUAUUGGGUUUAAAGGGUGCGUAGGCUGUGAGGUAAGUCAGCGGUGAAAUGCCCCCGCUCAACGGGGUGAAGUGCCAUUGAUACUGCCUGGCUGGAAUGCGGAUGCCGUGGGAGGAAUGUGUGGUGUAGCGGUGAAAUGCAUAGAUAUCACACAGAACACCGAUUGCGAAGGCAUCUCACGAAUCCGCGAUUGACGCUGAUGCACGAAAGCGUGGGUAUCAAACAGGAUUAGAUACCCCAGUAGUC
Molecule: ribosomal RNA, 460 nt
Filed under: uncultured bacterium
Lineage: Bacteria
Description: partial 16S ribosomal RNA
Rfam family: Bacterial small subunit ribosomal RNA
Source: RNAcentral